RNAcentral lists this long non-coding RNA (620 nucleotides) under Hordeum vulgare. RNAcentral's name for it is "long non-coding RNA (HVUL_LNC003677)". Lineage: Eukaryota; Viridiplantae; Streptophyta; Magnoliopsida; Poales; Poaceae. The record is from RNAcentral.
CAAUCAAGAUCAACAAUAGUCCAAGAUAUCCUUUUGAGUGCAGCACCCAAUAAUUGCUUCUUCUUAGACAACAUGGCAGGUUAAUAUUCUAAAAUUAUGAGAAAAGAGGAUACAAAAAAUUACGAAUUUAUAUAUCAGAUGAUUGAAACCCUAGACAUACAUGGAUAAAUAGUUGAAUACGUACAUACUAAAUAUAGAAUAAAAUAUACUACAGAAAUGGUCAAAUUGGGGUUUGGGGGCAUGGAUCGGGAACAUAGGUGGAUCAUCGAUACGUUCAUACGUACUGCUCCUGCUCCUGAUGGAUGAGUAGAUCAUGGAUACGUACCAGUAUUACUGCUGAUUACUGCUGCUGAAGUGACGAUGGAUGGAUAUUGGAUGGAUCUUACCGGAUGGCCGGACGCCCGAACCUCAUUGGCUUAGCUCGUACAAUCGUACUGCUGCGGAUUACUGUUGCUGAUGCGUGCUGGAUGCCGGAUGGGCGGACUGCCGUGCGGUGCCUUUUGGCGGCGGCCGAUCGAGGCGACAAGACGCCGAGCGACCUCGACAGGCAGGCCGACGAAGCGACGGGCAGAAGAAAGCUAGCGUGACUCUUGCUAUGCGGAUGGCUAGCGUGACGCUUA